RNAcentral lists this long non-coding RNA (1405 nucleotides) under Citrus x clementina. Its description in RNAcentral is "Citrus clementina (C. clementina) long non-coding RNA (CCLE_LNC004129)". Lineage: Eukaryota; Viridiplantae; Streptophyta; Magnoliopsida; Sapindales; Rutaceae. The record is from RNAcentral.
CAGGGUCCGGUCAUGGCAAUACCCGGACCCGGCCCGGGGUUUUGCCAUCUCUAGAAUCGAUGGACAUUAUAUGUUGCCCCUUGAUAUUUACAAUGCGUAUUCGACAUCUUCUUAUACUUAGCCACACGAUCUGUAAUGUCUUUUCUCAAACUCUCAAUGGUCAUCUUGAAAGAAGAGCAUCCCCAUGGAUAUUCAUUAAACUCAUUAAAAUUAUCCACAAGGAGUACAUUAGUUUCAUUUAUAUAAUUUUUAUUCUCCUUUCCAAGUAAUAUCGACUUUACAAAGUAUGACAUGGCAAGUCUAUUAUGUCAUCAUUUGAAUUAGCAUUCACAAACUUUUCACGAAUUUAUUUUGUUAUGAUUGCACAAUUUCCAUCUAAGAACUCAUCAACUAUUCUCUCACCAUCGUUACUAUUUUCAGUAUUGGGCUCAUAUAAUGGAUUGCAAUUCAAUCAUGUUACCAAGGCAAACUCCUCCAUUAAGAGUCAAAUAUUUUUCUGUCCAAUCCUAAACAACAUUGUCUUCUCACAUAAUUUUACUUCUCUCAAUAGUAUGUUGUAGAGUAACUAAGAAGAAAACUUCAACUCUUUGGCAUUAAAAAAAUGACCGAAAUAAGAACGUCUGAAUAUAUUGGCCUGCUCCUCACAUAGUUGUUUUUAAUGUCUUCAACUGCAUCUAGUGAUGAUCGGUUAGAAAUCUUUGCUUUAAAAUAAUCAGAUUCCUUGAUUUUCGAUUCCAUCUACAUAAACACAAAAAUGUUUGAAUUAUAAUAUAAAUACACCUAAAAAGUUGCAUAAUAAUAUAUUCUAAACCAAUUAGAAAAAUUACACAACACACCAGUUCAAUAUAGUUUUCAUUACUCGACUAUAGCCAAGUAUAUACAAAGCAAAUGAUUCAACUUAUGUACAAUGAUUUCAAGAAAAAAUUUGUAUAAUCUCUUCUUGGCUGCACAAUACAAAGAAAGAAAAUGCAAUUUUUAAUCUAUAAUUAAAUAGAAAUGUGAAAUCAAACAUGUAAUAAAGUUCUAUAUUAUUUGGACAAAGUUGAAGUUUCGUGUCCUUUGUCUUAGUAAGAAUUACAUAUUACAAAUUAUAGGUUCUUUUUUUUUUUUCUUUCAGUUUGGAGCAACUAGAGGUGGCCAACGGGCCGUGCCGGCCCAAGCCCAUCAAAGGUAGCCCACGCGUGCUUGUGCUCGUACCAUGUCGUGCCCACUAUGCGUUUCGUGUCGUGUCAUGCCUAAUUUCUUUUACUUAGGCCCGACUCGGCACACGUGUUGUGCCCAUUUGUGCCAUGCCCACACGUGUCGUGCCAUGCCUAGGAAAAAAACCCGACUAAACUUUUUUAUUAUUAUUUUUUUAAAAGCGCAUGCCAAGUUGUUAUCUUAUUUUUUUCAAGCCUUUGUACUU